CCUACGGGUGGCAGCAGUGGGGAAUAUUGCGCAAUGGGCGAAAGCCUGACGCAGCGACGCCGCGUGAGGGAUGAAGGUCUUCGGAUCGUAAACCUCUGUCAGCAGGGAAGAACGGUCACUGUGCUAAUCAGCAGUGACUUGACGGUACCUGCAAAGGAAGCACCGGCUAACUCCGUGCCAGCAGCCGCGGCAAUACGGAGGGUGCGAGCGUUAAUCGGAAUUACUGGGCGUAAAGCGCUCGUAGGCGGUAGGUCAAGUCAAGGGUGAAAUCCCCGCGCUCAACGUGGGAACUGCCUUUGAAACUGGCAAACUGGAGAGUGUGAGAGGAUAGUGGAAUGCCAGGUGUAGGGGUGAAAUCCGUAGAUAUCUGAAGGAACAUCAGUGGCGAAGGCGACUAUCUGGCACAUAACUGACGCUGAGGAGCGAAAGCGUGGGUAGCAAACAGGAUUAGAUACCCCGGUAGUC
Molecule: ribosomal RNA, 465 nt
Filed under: uncultured bacterium
Lineage: Bacteria
Description: partial 16S ribosomal RNA
Rfam family: Bacterial small subunit ribosomal RNA
Source: RNAcentral